RNA transcript from Cyprinus carpio (common carp), 3823 nucleotides. It is a transcript of the gene named SKI family transcriptional corepressor 1 homolog-B, with no coding region annotated. The record is from RefSeq and is a predicted model, not a curated record. The transcript has 8 exons. NCBI's taxonomy places the organism in Eukaryota, Metazoa, Chordata, Actinopteri, Cypriniformes, Cyprinidae.
ACUUUCUUUUUCUUUGGUAAGUGCAUGAGUGUAUUUGUAUAGGUUUUGACAGUGGUCCAGUCAGACGUUGACAUCGGUGCACGAGCCUCGUGGUCAUUGACUGGUUUGUAAAUAGCCUACCUAACAUUAUAAACGUUUCCCUAAACGACUUGGCCUUGAUCAUUUCUUUUCUUCGUUUUGUAAACAUUUGGUACAAGAGACUUAAUCAGAUGACUCCUCCUUUCUCCGAUUUAUUUUUUAUUAAACAUUUUCUUUCUUUUUCUUUUUCUUUUAAAGUUGGUAUUUGUAUUCAUUAGGUUUUGGUUCGAUUUAAAAAGCAUGCAACAAAACCUAAUCACCGUUAUGCUGUAAAGAAAACAUUUUAUUGUAGCUAUUAAAAGCACUCAACAAAACAGGCUAUCCGGUUUCCUCAGAACGCACCAGCCCCACGUUCAAACGCGAAAAGUGGUAUUUCACAUUAAACAAACCUUUUCGUAGAUUACAUACAGCAUUUAGAUUACUACUACUAGGUUGGCUAAUCUAAAGUCUUCCUUAAUGCCACGCACGCCCCCCACACACUGGCAGACAAGCAAUCACUUUCAUGUGUUAAAAGAUCACGUGGUGAACUUUAAACGUCUCCAGGCCUCGAUGACAGCACUGACUGUCGUCCCCAUUGGUCCCGAAGGCAAAUAGUUAAUGUAAAUAUGCUGGCGCUAAGUGGGAGUGCCUCGCCAUUAGUUUAGCUGUCACUUGAGCGCUGUCGAAUGUCUUCAGUGGUUGUGUCGUUGAGGUCCGCACUAGCAUGUGGUCACCCUCCGCGCGCACCUCAACACUAGUCGCGGGAGAGCCGAGUACGAUGCAAGUCCACGCGCUCUAACAGGCCUGAGAUAAACCCGCUACACAAGCGCUCGUGGACAUUUUAUAUUAGAUCGGCGCGAUUCCAAGGCGUCUGAUUACCAGAACGCUCUAAUAGAGGACAGACAGAGCGCAUUUAUCCAAAGGACUCGAAGGUUUCGAAUACGCGUUUUCCUCCACAAAUAAAAGGCACUUCGCUUUCUUCUGAAAAAAGAUUUCCAGGAAUGGAAUCCAUCCCAAAUCAGCUGCCGGCUGGAAGAGACUCCAGCUGUUCGCCGAACUCUAAACAAGACUUGCAGUCUUACUCUGGGCCAACACUUAAGCCGAACCAAGUCAGUGAGACCUCUUUAUAUGGAAUACCGAUCGUUUCACUAGUCAUAGACGGUCAAGAGAGACUUUGCCUAGCCCAAAUAUCCAACACUCUCCUGAAGAGCUACAGCUACAACGAAAUCCACAACCGGCGCGUGGCCCUGGGCAUCACUUGUGUGCAGUGCACUCCGGUCCAGCUGGAGAUUCUCAGGCGCGCGGGGGCUAUGCCUAUUUCCUCUAGACGCUGUGGGAUGAUAACAAAGCGAGAGGCCGAGAGGCUUUGCAAGUCGUUUCUGGGCGCCCACAGCCCGCCGAAAUUACCAGAAAAUUUCGCUUUUGACGUGUCGCACGAAUGCGCGUGGGGCAGCCGGGGCAAUUUCAUCCCGGCCAGAUACAACAGCUCGAGAGCGAAGUGCAUUAAGUGCUCGUUCUGCAACAUGUAUUUCUCUCCAAACAAGUUCAUCUUUCACUCCCAUCGCACGCCGGAGUCCAAAUACACGCAACCCGACGCAGCAAACUUCAAUUCGUGGAGAAGACACUUAAAACUAUCCGAUAAAAACUCACCGGACGACGUGUCCCAUGCCUGGGAAGACGUCAAAGCCAUGUUUAACGGUGGCAGCCGCAAGAGGACGCUGCCAGUCGGUGGGUCUGGUAGUUCGUCCUCGUUUAGUACGCAAGCACCGAGAGGUCAGACCCAGGGGGAACCGUCUGAGGUGCCCCACAAAACUCUCCGAUGUGAGGAUGACAGAGUGAACGUGACGAUGCCGAGUAGCAUACGCAGUUACCCCGUUAUUCCGGUGCCCAGUAAGAGUUUUGGGAUGUUACAGAAAAUUCCACCACCGCUCUUUCCACAUCCAUACGGUUUCCCGGCGUUUGGAUUGUGUCAGAAGAAGGAUGACGGUGUGGUGAUGGGAGAGCCGAACAAAACAAACCUGUCAGGUGUGUUCUGGCCGAGCGCGAAGGACAGCGCCUAUCCCUCCUUUCCGAUGUUUUGGCCUACAACAGGCAGCUUGGCCAUGCCAACAUACCACCAUGCCCAGCCUAAACCUCCACCUGACGUGUUGUGCACUAGACAUAGUGAGCUAGACGUGUCAGAGCAAAGUGACCGAAGCACGAGCACCCCUAAAGACAGUCUACUUGAUAACGAACGGUGUUCCAGCACUCAGUCUACCAGAAACGAGGAGGAUAAAUCUGGGGAUGAGAGCAGGUCUAUAGAAGGGAUGCCAGCCACCCCAAGAAAAAUAAGCUACAUAUCUGCAUUCAGGCCGGUUGUUAAAGAUGUUGAGAGCAUCGCAAAGCUAUACGGAAACAGGGCUCCGUAUUCUGGUCCUCGAUCUGGUUAUAUGUCACCAGAUUUCUUGAGUGAAAGUUCUAGUUACAGAUCGGUGUCUCCGGACGUGGACAGCGUGGACGAUCCGGAUGUGGAUGUGGAGUCACAUAAAGUGCACGAGGACGAGGAGUGUUUGCAGCUGACUGUGGAUGACCGGCGGAGUCCUCACGGUUUGACCGUAGCGCAAAGUGACGGGGUUAAAGGUCAAGACCAAGACAAUAGCCAAAUGCACACCUUGAGUGAUCUACACACGACGAAUUCAAGUGAAACGCGGUCGUCUGAUUUGGAGAGCCACGGCAAUAAGCACGCUACGCGAUUUGAAGUCUAUGCGCGUGAACGAGACGAGCACGUGCAUCAAAUGAGCACAUCUUAUUUUGGUUCAACGACCACUUACCAACGCGAAGCGAGUGUUAAAGACGUGCAUGAAGAAGAACCUUCAUCUACGGUGGAAGAGAUGGAACCCAAAAAUCAUCAGGAUCAAACCAACAUCAGUGAGGAGCGCCUGAAGGAACUAAAUGAUGAUGAGGAAUCAAUGCGCAAGGACACUGGCAGCAGGGUCUCCUUAAUUGAGAAAAACAUAGAGAACAUGGCCAAAGAGGAAUUGCAGAAACAGCUUGUGGAACAAGUAGAACUUAGAAAAAAGUUGGAGCGUGAAUUCCAGAAUCUAAAAGUUUUCAAGACCAAAUGAAAAGAGAGCUCUCAUACAGAGAGGAAAUGGUGCAGCAACUCCAGAUUGUUCGAGGUAAGCUCACGACGCACUACACCAUUUCUCGUGUAAGAUGCUGACUCCCCGUCACUGCUCUGGGACCUGCACCUUCAAACCUCCUCUUCUACCGCCUUGAUGGACACCUAUUGAAGACAUAAAUACUGCUGUGUCAAAUAAAACGUUACGUUUUUCCCUCUGCAAAACACUGUCAACCUUUAGACCUGAAAUAAGCAAGUGUGUCCUGUAGUAUUUUAGCUCUUACGCUGUAAUGAAGUCAUUUUCAUUUGCAAAAGAGUGGUUUCAGAGUCACUGUAUGUACUGUAUAAUUUAUAUAAAGUUCUAGAAAACUGCAUUAUAAAAAAAUCGACGUCCCACUUAAAAAUAUUAUCAUCAGCUGUAGAAAUCACUGGUAUUAAGUGGCUAUGUGCAAUGCAUAUAUUUGUUAUGUAUCCUGUGAUACCCUUUUUGUUAGUGAUAGGUUAGGACAUUUUGUUAAAUUAGAUAAAUGUUUUUGUAUAUUUUAUUUAUUCCAUGUCCAUGUUGGUUGUUUAUUCUCAUCUGCAUAUUUGUAUAAUAUUGAUGUAAAGCACUUUAAAUUGGCAGCCCUAACUACUGAAAUGUGGAUUAAAUGAUCCUGUUUGAGA